GUGCACACUGUGUGGGAGAUGACCUGUCCCGUGCCGUAGUAACGCGAUAAGUGUGCCGCCUGGGGAGUACGGUCGCAAGAUUAAAACUCAAAGAAAUUGACGGGGGCCCGCACAAGCGGAGGAGCAUGUGGCUUAAUUCGAUGCAACGCGAAGAACCUUACCAGGGUUUGACAUGCAGCUGCACGUCCCGUGAAAGCGGGAUUCCUUCGAGGGUGCUGCACAGGUGCUGCAUGGCUGUCGUCAGUUCGUGCCGUGAGGUGUUGGGUUAAGUCCCGCAACGAACGCAACCCCUGUGUUUAGUUGCCACCUCCGGGCAACCGGAGAGCACUCUAAACAGACUGCCCGUGACAAGCGGGAGGAAGGUGGGGAUGACGUCAAGUCAGUAUGGCCUUUAUACCCUGGGCUGCACACGUGCUACAAUGGCCGGUACAGAGGGAAGCGAGACCGCGAGGUGGAGCCAAUCCCCGAAAACCGGCCCCAGUUCAGAUUGAAGGCUGCAACUCGCCUUCAUGAAGUUGGAUUCGCUAGUAAUGGCGCAUCAGCUACGGCGCCGUGAAUACGUUCCCGGGCCUUGUACACACCGCCCGUCACAUCAUGAAAGCCGUCUGCACCCGACGUCACUGUACCAACCGGCAACGGAGGAAGGUGCCUAAGGUGUGGGUGGUGAUUGGGAU
RNAcentral lists this ribosomal RNA (674 nucleotides) under uncultured Verrucomicrobiota bacterium. RNAcentral's name for it is "bacterial SSU rRNA". It matches the Rfam family "Bacterial small subunit ribosomal RNA", at positions 809 to 1481 of the family's 1533-position model. Lineage: Bacteria; Pseudomonadati; Verrucomicrobiota. The record is from RNAcentral.